RNAcentral lists this long non-coding RNA (1456 nucleotides) under Ananas comosus (pineapple). RNAcentral describes it as "long non-coding RNA (ACOM_LNC021182)". Lineage: Eukaryota; Viridiplantae; Streptophyta; Magnoliopsida; Poales; Bromeliaceae. The record is from RNAcentral.
UGUCGGCUUUCGUAAAGUUGGGGAGUCGUCCAAAUUCUACACCUACACGACCACUUGAGGUGGAUGAUGCAUUCCAAGGACCUCGAAAAUUCCUUUAUGUCUAAAGUGUCAUGUUUGAACAUAUAUGUAUAUAUUGAGCAUGUUGCAUAGUAGGUUUAAUUGUGAGCUUUUAUUGCAUGAUUGUGAAUUUAAUUUCGUAUGAGAUACUUGUAAGAAUGUGAGAAUUAUAACCCUAUUUAUGCAUGACAAGUGACAAGAACCUAGAGGGAUUAGUGAACAAAAGUGACACAUGGACAUAGAUCUAGCGAGUGACAUUGAUAAGUCUAGAACACUUAGAAAAACAAGUGUGGCAUGAGUACAAGAACUUGGUAGUGUAUAUGAUACUAGUGUUGGUAAAGAAUGCAAAGAAAAGAAUGAUUGAGAUAUUAUGAUAUUGCAACCUUAGAGUAAAAGGUCAUUUGAGCAUGGUCUUCCUUAAAGUUAAGAAAUGGAUUGAACUUGGAAUCCUCAAUGUAGGAUUGAUCGUACUCACCUUUAGUCCUUACUCGAGGGUGGUAGCUCCCCCUCAGGCGAUGUGCUCCGGAGUCGACAUCACUGGGUUGUAGCGGGUAUCUCCCCAGAGGACGGCCCUAUCGGGUUGUAGCGGGUAUCUCCCCGGUUAGCAGGAUUUUGGGUAGUGAGUCUGUUGAGGGCGAAGCCUACGGGUUAGCCAAGAGAUUGGGUAAAGAAAUUGUGAUCUUGCAUUCAUCAUGAGCAUUAUAUCGAGUAUCGCAUUCUAUAUUGUUCAGGCAUAUUAGUUGUAUUUGUUGGUUGGUUACUUUCUUUCUUCUAUUCUAUUAUGCCUAAUUAGACCUAGUGGGAUAGUCGGCGUGGUUGGUUGCCGAACCUACUGGAAACUUUGUUGUAGUUCUCACACCCCUAUUUCCACAGAGCCGGGAUCGAGAGAACCGGCUGACGACCGCGGUAAAUGAAAGGACAUACCGUUUUGAUUUAUCAUCUUUUGUACUUCGAUUAUUAUAGCCGCUAAAUGAAAGGACAUGAAUGAUGUAAAAGAGUUUUAUUUAAUAUCAAUGUCAUAUUUUGGAAGAAUGAGAUGUAAAGAAAGAUACGAUGCAAAAUGAUGAAAAAUUGUAAUUGAUUUCCUAAGUGUAGUUAUUUACUUCACUAUUGGCUAUUUCUUGCCCUCGUGCAAGCCAUUGUGUAUGCUUCCGCUUAUACAAACUUUAUACUCUAUUGAUACUUGUUGUUCAGCCUUGGGCGGACAGGGAAGGCUCUGUCCAUUCGGCGUCUGUUCGACGCUCUCGAACCGGCCAAAAGAAUCGGGCUCGGGGCGUGACAGAGUAGGUCUUGUGUGCUAUUAGGAGCAUGCAGGCCUCCGUGCUCCUAAGCCGUUUUCGAUGAUGGAGCUUCCAAAUCGAUGAUCGGCUCCAUUAGAAUUGAUCUAGCGUAUUUGAAC